RNAcentral lists this ribosomal RNA (533 nucleotides) under uncultured bacterium. RNAcentral describes it as "bacterial SSU rRNA". It matches the Rfam family "Bacterial small subunit ribosomal RNA", at positions 777 to 1307 of the family's 1533-position model. The record is from RNAcentral.
AAUAGAUACCCAGGUAGUCCACGCCGUAAACGAUGAGUGCUAAGUGUUAGAGGGUUUCCGCCCUUUAGUGCUGCAGCUAACGCAUUAAGCACUCCGCCUGGGGAGUACGGCCGCAAGGCUGAAACUCAAAGGAAUUGACGGGGGCCCGCACAAGCGGUGGAGCAUGUGGUUUAAUUCGAAGCAACGCGAAGAACCUUACCAGGUCUUGACAUCCUCUGCCAACCCUAGAGACAGGGUGUUCCCCUUCGGGGGACAGAGUGACAGGUGGUGCAUGGUUGUCGUCAGCUCGUGUCGUGAGAUGUUGGGUUAAGUCCCGCAACGAGCGCAACCCUUGACCUUAGUUGCCAGCAUUCAGUUGGGCACUCUAAGGUGACUGCCGGUGACAAACCGGAGGAAGGUGGGGAUGACGUCAAAUCAUCAUGCCCCUUAUGACCUGGGCUACACACGUGCUACAAUGGAUGGUACAAAGGGCUGCGAGACCGCGAGGUUAAGCCAAUCCCAUAAAAACCAUUCUCAGUUCGGAUUGCAGGCUG